CCACAAGGGGUGAAGCCUGCGGUUCAAUUGGAGUCAACGCCAGGAAACUUACCAGGAGAGACAGCAGGUUGAGGGUCAGUCUGAAGAACUUACCUGACGAGCUGAGAGGAGGUGCAUGGCCGUCGCCAGCUCGUGCCGUGAGGCGUCCUGUUAAGUCAGGCAACGAGCGAGACCCCUAUCGGUAAUUGCUAACUGCCCAGAGAUGGGUAGAGGCUAGUUACAGAGACUGCCGUUGAUAAAACGGAGGAAGGAAGGGGCCACGGCAGGUCAGUAUGCCCCGAAACUCCUGGGCCACACGCGGGCUGCAAUGGUAGGGACAAUAGGUUCCGACCUCGAAAGAGGAAGGCAAUCCCCAAACCCUACCCCAGUUGUGAUCGAGGAUUGAAACCCGUCCUCGUGAAUAUGGAAUCCCUAGUAACCGCGUGUCAUCACCGCGCGGUGAAUACGUCCCUGCUCCUUGC
This 461-nucleotide ribosomal RNA is filed under the name uncultured archaeon. RNAcentral describes it as "bacterial SSU rRNA". It matches the Rfam family "Archaeal small subunit ribosomal RNA", at positions 879 to 1340 of the family's 1478-position model. The record is from RNAcentral.